Tetranychus urticae (two-spotted spider mite) is the source of this 730-nucleotide long non-coding RNA. RefSeq lists it as uncharacterized. NCBI's taxonomy places the organism in Eukaryota, Metazoa, Arthropoda, Arachnida, Trombidiformes, Tetranychidae. The record is from RefSeq and is a predicted model, not a curated record.
CAAACAGAGCCAUAGCCAUGAACCUGAUUCUCGGAAAAACAUCGUGCUCUAUAACUGCCAAUUCAAAUUGUUUAAUCUAAUCAGAUGUCAUUUCUGGUUUCAUUGUCACAGCGAACUUUUUGUUUACCUUUAUCUUGUUUACUAAAACCUACUUGACUAAUCGGCCUAUUUCAUUGUAUUUGGUUCAUUCCAAUUCUCAUCAAUAGAUAAUGAUUUAAUGUUUGUUAUUGCCAUUAUAUUCACUCAUCCAAUGCUCUUUCCAUACAAUUUCAAUUUAUGGCAAUUUCAUAUGGAAUUCUUGAGCUAUGAGAUUUGGAGUGUGUCCAGAUUAAUCUGAUGUUGACAAUUGACGUAAAUUACUUAAUAGACAGACGUUCAUUUUAAAAUCUUCACUCAUAUGCCAGUUACAGUUAAAGAAUCACCAAGUUGAGAUAAUAUUGUUAUACCGUUCAGAUUGUUUUCAAUGGGAAUGAAACAUUUUCAAAUGAGAAACGGUUGCAACUAACCGUCAACCAACAAGUAUCUUUAUCUGUAUAAUUAUCAAUUCAUCGUGAAUUAAUCAAACUAGGCUAAAAAUAACGGUUUUACUCGCCAUAUGAAUCAACGGAAUUGUUUUAAUAGUAAUCAAUGAAGAUAAUUCAUGGUUCUGGUGAAGGUUAAUGCAACAAUUAUUGAUAUAUUAAUCGACUAAACUGAUGACCAGCCAUGAAAUGAUUGAGUUAUUGGAGCC